UACAAAGUAGUACUAUCACUAUGUAUAGUUGAAGUGUUUUUCUAUCGUAUAUAUAAACCGGACCAUUGCAAGUAAUUUUAUAAUUGAAAAACGUUCAAAAUGGCAAAACUUACACUCGUUCUCUUGGCAGCCGUCUUUGUAGCCGUUUUGGCUACCCAAGAAGUCAGCGCCGGUGCUGUCAAAGGUGCAGAAGCUCCUCGUGCUGCUGGACUUGGAGCAGACUGCGAAUGUAACGCAUGCAGUAAAGAAUGCACAUCCGAGAGCUCCGACUACAUUGGAGGUAUUUGUUACCAAGGCCAAUGUGUUUGUGCCUCCCUUGGCUAAACUAAAUAAUGUGAUAAAGUUUAAUUAAUAAAGUGUUAAAUUGAA
Long non-coding RNA from Diabrotica virgifera virgifera (western corn rootworm), 369 nucleotides. RefSeq lists it as uncharacterized. The record is from RefSeq and is a predicted model, not a curated record. The transcript is spliced from 2 exons. NCBI's taxonomy places the organism in Eukaryota, Metazoa, Arthropoda, Insecta, Coleoptera, Chrysomelidae.